Molecule: ribosomal RNA, 991 nt
Filed under: Klebsiella variicola
Lineage: Bacteria; Pseudomonadati; Pseudomonadota; Gammaproteobacteria; Enterobacterales; Enterobacteriaceae
Description: bacterial SSU rRNA
Rfam family: Bacterial small subunit ribosomal RNA
Source: RNAcentral
AAAUUGAAGAGUUUGAUCAUGGCUCAGAUUGAACGCUGGCGGCAGGCCUAACACAUGCAAGUCGAGCGGUAGCACAGAGAGCUUGCUCUCGGGUGACGAGCGGCGGACGGGUGAGUAAUGUCUGGGAAACUGCCUGAUGGAGGGGGAUAACUACUGGAAACGGUAGCUAAUACCGCAUAACGUCGCAAGACCAAAGUGGGGGACCUUCGGGCCUCAUGCCAUCAGAUGUGCCCAGAUGGGAUUAGCUAGUAGGUGGGGUAACGGCUCACCUAGGCGACGAUCCCUAGCUGGUCUGAGAGGAUGACCAGCCACACUGGAACUGAGACACGGUCCAGACUCCUACGGGAGGCAGCAGUGGGGAAUAUUGCACAAUGGGCGCAAGCCUGAUGCAGCCAUGCCGCGUGUGUGAAGAAGGCCUUCGGGUUGUAAAGCACUUUCAGCGGGGAGGAAGGCGAUAAGGUUAAUAACCUUGUCGAUUGACGUUACCCGCAGAAGAAGCACCGGCUAACUCCGUGCCAGCAGCCGCGGUAAUACGGAGGGUGCAAGCGUUAAUCGGAAUUACUGGGCGUAAAGCGCACGCAGGCGGUCUGUCAAGUCGGAUGUGAAAUCCCCGGGCUCAACCUGGGAACUGCAUUCGAAACUGGCAGGCUAGAGUCUUGUAGAGGGGGGUAGAAUUCCAGGUGUAGCGGUGAAAUGCGUAGAGAUCUGGAGGAAUACCGGUGGCGAAGGCGGCCCCCUGGACAAAGACUGACGCUCAGGUGCGAAAGCGUGGGGAGCAAACAGGAUUAGAUACCCUGGUAGUCCACGCUGUAAACGAUGUCGAUUUGGAGGUUGUGCCCUUGAGGCGUGGCUUCCGGAGCUAACGCGUUAAAUCGACCGCCUGGGGAGUACGGCCGCAAGGUUAAAACUCAAAUGAAUUGACGGGGGCCCGCACAAGCGGUGGAGCAUGUGGUUUAAUUCGAUGCAACGCGAAGAACCUUACCUGGUCUUG